RNAcentral lists this ribosomal RNA (253 nucleotides) under uncultured bacterium. RNAcentral's name for it is "partial 16S ribosomal RNA". It matches the Rfam family "Bacterial small subunit ribosomal RNA", at positions 524 to 776 of the family's 1533-position model. The record is from RNAcentral.
GACAGAGGGGGCAAGCGUUGCUCGGAAUUACUGGGCGUAAAGGGCGCGUAGGCGGGCUGGCAAGUCGGUCGUGAAAUCCCUCGGCUCAACUGAGGAUCGUCGAUCGAUACUGCCGUUCUUGAGGAUUGCAGAGGAGACUGGAAUUCCCGGUGUAGCGGUGAAAUGUGUAGAGAUCGGGAGGAACACCGGUGGCGAAGGCGGGUCUCUGGGCAAUUCCUGACGCUGAGGCGCGAAAGCGUGGGGAGCAAACGGG